This 1339-nucleotide long non-coding RNA is filed under the name Phoenix dactylifera (date palm). RNAcentral's name for it is "long non-coding RNA (PDAC_LNC010328)". Lineage: Eukaryota; Viridiplantae; Streptophyta; Magnoliopsida; Arecales; Arecaceae. The record is from RNAcentral.
UUCCCGCAACCAAUGCUCCACAUCACAGCCGUAACCUCCUUCCAAGCCAAAUCCAGAGCCCGUCCCAACCUCCCUCCUGAUCAUGUUCGUUACCAAACUUCAUCCCAACUCCCCUUCUUCAUCCAAACUCCCAGCCUAGAUCCCCUCCACGGAUAAGCUCUCAACAACGUCACCAGAUCAUCAUCUCCCGUGUCCCACAACAAAACCAAGCAAUCAGCCGAAUCCAAACCUCCACGUCCUUNNNNNNNNNNNNNNNNNNNNNNNNNNNNNNNNNNNNNNNNNNNNNNNNNNNNNNNNNNNNNNNCCCCUGUUUCGGAACCACUCCCAGCCGGCAUGCCAGAUUGACUCAAACCAAUCCAAGCAUCCCACGAUUGGCCAUCCAUGGAUCACGUCCCAGCUCCCUUGUUCCUAGCCGAAGGAUUCUUCCAAAGAUCUUCCUCCCAGCCGAGAUCCGAUCCUCUCAACAUUUUGAAAUCCUCCCACGUCCGCCCAUUCGCAUGAGAUCCUCCCAACCUUCUCCAAGAUCUUGCAGUUCAUCCUGUUCGUAAUAAGCACCCAGCAUACAUGGGAUAUGAUCCAGGCGUCUGUUCACUGCAUCACAAUCUUCUUCCGGAUCAUUCCAUCAUCCAAGAUUUCUUUCUAACUUCCUCCCAGCGAGUCCCAAGCCAUAUAGAAACAAGUCUAGAUUAGUAUCUAAACUUCCCCUCCAUUCCGUGUUCAUCUUCAUCUCGUUCCUUCCGGGUCCAACAAACAGGGCUCUGUUUCGCAACAGAGCUAAGAUCCUCCACGUCUUCCGCAGUCCAAACAUCUCCUCCGGAUCAACUUCAUCCUGAAUUCCAUGGAUUAACAGCAUCCCCUCUGUUCGUAAGAUCAGCAUCCACGGCACUAUCCUUCCAAACCAAGUCUUCAUCCCGUUAUGAUCCCCUUCUUCAUUCAAAUCCCAGCAAAUCAAAACAGCUUCUUCCCAACUCUCGAAUCAGCUACAAAUCUCAGCGAAGCCAGCACCCAUGACGCGUCCGAGUACUCCGCGAUUCGACUCCAUCCGCAAGUGAGCUUCGUGAGGCUAUAAAAGGAGAAGACUCCUCUUCCUUGGCGGCAGCUCUGGGAGGCAAAAUCCGGCUGAGAGGAGUCCCACGGGAAACAGAGGAGGGAGAGAAAAGUUUGGGUCAUUUUGGGAAUGAUUUCCCAAAAGAAGAGAUGACGAUGUGCUGAAAGCUGACGGGAGGAAGGAGGGAAAGCCAAUUAUUAUUAAGUCCCGCUGCUGUGCCACUGCUGCUGUCGCCCACAACUCCAUGGAAGCUUGAUCUUCUCACUAGGGCUGGAUGCAACCCUAACAAAG